GGGUAUGGGUUCUCAGUGCGUAGCAUCAUGCCCUGAGAAACCCCGAUGUAUCUGAUGUUCACCUAUAGUCGGGUGGCGGCUGGUCGGCGCUGUGGCGCCCGUCAGAUCGCUGAUCCGGUGCGGAGAACUUCGGAGAAGUUGGUGGGCUCAUAUCUGUCAAGACCACUCACCUCACCUUCACGUGGGGCUCCCCGUCACCCUGCAUCGGUCCCGACCGGGGUAGGGUGCGAAAGAGUGAGUGGCACCAAGACGAGAAGGCACCAACACACGAUAAAACAUACCCUUGACGAUGAAGAUAAUGAUGAUACGUCGGAAAAUAUAAAUAAUGAAGUUUACGGUGCAGGGGCGGGAUACCCCAGUACCGGCGCAGACGUGGGUGGACAAGCGGGCCCCGCUGUGUCGUUAGCUUGUGACCGAUGUACCGGUUGUAUGUAAAUAUGAAACCGGAAUUUUUAUAUAGAAAAUACAAUGAUUAGAAAUAUUUUAUUCAAAGUAUUGCCCAUCGCUAGCUAUAUAUUUUCCCCAUCUGUUUGGCAAUUGCUGGAUGCCACGCCAAAAAAACUGUCUCUCUUUUGAGGCAAACCAGUCAUCGAGCCAUUUUCGUACAUUUUCGUAAGAAGCGAAGUGCUGGUCAGAAAGUGCGUGUCCCAUCGAUACAAAUAAAUAGUAAUCGAACGGAGCCAAGUCUGGUGAGUAAGCCGCGUGUGAAAGUAUUUCCCAACUGAACGCUUCGAUCGUUUCCUUGACCGGUUUUGCUGUAUGCGAUGGUGCAUUAUCAUGGAGCAAAAUUACUUUGUGUUGCCUUUUUUCAUAUUGUGGUCGUUUUUCACGCUAAGCUUGAUUCAAAUCGAUCGUCUAUUGUCGGUAGCGCUCAGUAUUAACGGUUUCGCCAGGUUUUAACAUCUCAUAAUAGAUCACAUCCUUCUGAUCCCACCAAACACAGAGCAUCGUUUUCCGUCCAUAGCGAUUUGUUCUUGUUGUCGAUGUCGGUGGUUCGCCUGGAGCUACCCAUGAUCUUUUACGCUCAUGACUUAUGGCUCGUUAACCAUACGCCAUAAAACAAAUAGAUGAUGAAGAUGAUGAUGAAGAUAAUGAUGAUAUGUCGGAAAAUAUAAAUAAUGAAGUUUACGGUGCAGGGGCGGGAUAUCCCAGUACCGGCGCAGACGUGGGUGGACAAGCGGGCCCCGCUGUGUCGUUAGCUUGUGACCGUGGCCGGAUGGGGGUGGACCACCAGGCCCCCAUUCAUGUUAUCACGACUGGUGAGGAGGAAAAAGGAGACAUUGAAAAGAAAGAGGCUCCGAUAGCCGAUAUUGAACAUAUAGAGUUCAAGCCAUAAUAGUUCGACGGUGAGGCGAGCGACCGAGCUGCUUGUUGCCCUUGAGAGUGGAGGAGAACAAGAACUACCAAGAUCCCACUGGUGGUCAAGACUGUGCAACAUGUCUGCUAAUAGGCGCUACUUCCUUUUGUUGAUGCUCGAAAGCUUUAUUGAUCGUAGACCAUUGUCCUGAUCUACGCAUGAUCCGUGUAAGCGGAUAUAAAUAUCGGCGGGAGAACAACAACGAGGUCCACCGACCUCCGGUCCUCGAAAUAUUUUAUUCUCCGCUGCCCGAAGGAAGCGAGAUUGUAUUGGAUUUUGAACAAAUAGCAACCGGUGGAGUAGUGGCCGCUCCGGCCACAAUUAGGACGCAUAACAGAAGGGGUGUGCAAUACAGUAUUAGUACUAAAUGCUUUAGAUGUAGAUGUUAUACAUACAUGUUUUGCGUGUUAAAAUAAAAUAUAAUAAAAUGUCGUAUAAGUGUUGUAACCGUAGGAUUUGAUGUUUAUUACUGUAAAUUAC
This is a long non-coding RNA of Bombus pascuorum, 1837 nucleotides long. RefSeq lists it as uncharacterized. The record is from RefSeq and is a predicted model, not a curated record. Lineage: Eukaryota; Metazoa; Arthropoda; Insecta; Hymenoptera; Apidae. The transcript is spliced from 3 exons.